UGGGGAAUAUUGGACAAUGGGGGCAACCCUGAUCCAGCAAUGCCAUGUGUGUGAAGAAGGCCUUCGGGUUGUAAAGCACUUUAGUGGGGGAGGAAGGCUGACAGGCUAAUAUCCUGUUAGAUUGACAGUACCUCAAGAAUAAGCACCGGCAAACUCUGUGCCAGCAGCCGCGGUAAUACAGAGGGUGCAAGCGUUAAUCGGAAUGACUGGGCGUAAAGGGCGAGUAGGCGGUUGUAUAAGUUAGGUGUGAAAGACCUGGGCUUAACCUGGGAAGAGCACUUAAUACUGUAUAACUAGAGUAUUGUAGAGGUAACGGGAAUUUCCGGUGUAGCGGUGAAAUGCGUAGAUAUCGGAAAGAACACCAAUGGCGAAGGCAAGUUACUGGACAGAUACUGACGCU
Molecule: ribosomal RNA, 400 nt
Filed under: uncultured bacterium
Lineage: Bacteria
Description: bacterial SSU rRNA
Rfam family: Bacterial small subunit ribosomal RNA
Source: RNAcentral